GCUCCUACCGAUUGGAUGACUCGGUGAAAUUACCGGAGUAUUAAUUAUGAAGGUAAUUAAAUCACGUUAUCUAGAGGAAGGAGAAGUCGUAACAAGGUAUCG
Molecule: ribosomal RNA, 102 nt
Filed under: Trichomitus batrachorum
Lineage: Eukaryota; Parabasalia; Hypotrichomonadida; Hypotrichomonadidae
Description: partial 18S ribosomal RNA
Rfam family: Eukaryotic small subunit ribosomal RNA
Source: RNAcentral